Molecule: ribosomal RNA, 467 nt
Filed under: uncultured bacterium
Lineage: Bacteria
Description: bacterial SSU rRNA
Rfam family: Bacterial small subunit ribosomal RNA
Source: RNAcentral
GACGAACGCUGGCGGCGUGCUUAACACAUGCAAGUCGAACGGUGACGAGGAGCUUGCUCUUCUGGAUCAGUGGCGAACGGGUGAGUAACACGUGAGCAAUCUGCCCUUGACUCUGGGAUAACAGUUGGAAACAGCUGCUAAUACCGGAUACGAGACGUGACCGCAUGGUCAACGUCUGGAAAGAACUUCGGUCAAGGAUGAGCUCACGGCCUAUCAGCUAGUUGGUGAGGUAAUGGCUCACCAAGGCGACGACGGGUAGCCGGCCUGAGAGGGUGACCGGCCACACUGGGACUGAGACACGGCCCAGACUCCUACGGGAGGCAGCAGUGGGGAAUAUUGCACAAUGGGCGAAAGCCUGAUGCAGCAACGCCGCGUGAGGGACGACGGCCUUCGGGUUGUAAACCUCUUUUAGCAAGGAAGAAGCGAAAGUGACGGUACUUGCAGAAAAAGCGCCGGCUAACUACGUG